UACAGAGGUCCCGAGCGUUGUUCGGAUUCACUGGGCGUAAAGGGUGCGCAGGUGGCUUGGCAAGUUUGAUGUGAAAGCUCAGGGCUUAACCCUGAAAUGGCAUUGAAUACUGUUGAGCUGGAGGUUUGGAGGGGGGACUGGAAUUCUUGGUGUAGCAGUGAAAUGCGUAGAUAUCGAGAGGAACACCAGUGGCGAAGGCGAGUCCCUGGACAGGUCCUGACGCUGAGGCACGAAGGCUAGGGGAGAAAGCAGG
RNAcentral lists this ribosomal RNA (253 nucleotides) under uncultured bacterium. Its description in RNAcentral is "partial 16S ribosomal RNA". It matches the Rfam family "Bacterial small subunit ribosomal RNA", at positions 524 to 776 of the family's 1533-position model. The record is from RNAcentral.